Molecule: ribosomal RNA, 253 nt
Filed under: uncultured bacterium
Lineage: Bacteria
Description: partial 16S ribosomal RNA
Rfam family: Bacterial small subunit ribosomal RNA
Source: RNAcentral
UACGAAGGAUGCGAGCGUUAUCCGGAUUUAUUGGGUUUAAAGGGAGCGUAGGCGGUCUUAUAAGUCAGUGGUGAAAUCUCGUUGCUUAACAACGAACGUGCCAUUGAUACUGUAGGACUUGAGUACAGUUGCCGUUGGCGGAAUGUGUCAUGUAGCGGUGAAAUGCAUAGAUAUGACCCGGAACACCGAUUGCGAAGGCAGCCCACUAAGCAAUGAUUGACGCUGAGGCACGAAAGCGUGGGGAUCAAACAGG